CCUACGGGGGGCUGCAGUGGGGAAUAUUGGACAAUGGGCGAAAGCCUGAUCCAGCCAUGCCGCGUGUGUGAAGAAGGCCUUCGGGUUGUAAAGCACUUUCAGUGGGGAAGAAAGCCUUGGGGCUAAUACCCUCGAGGAAGGACAUCACCCACAGAAGAAGCACCGGCUAACUCCGUGCCAGCAGCCGCGGUAAUACGGAGGGUGCGAGCGUUAAUCGGAAUUACUGGGCGUAAAGCGCGCGUAGGCGGUCUGAUAAGCCGGUUGUGAAAGCCCCGGGCUCAACCUGGGAACGGCAUCCGGAACUGUCAGGCUAGAGUGCAGGAGAGGAAGGUAGAAUUCCCGGUGUAGCGGUGAAAUGCGUAGAGAUCGGGAGGAAUACCAGUGGCGAAGGCGGCCUUCUGGACUGACACUUACGCUGAGGUGCGAAAGCGUGGGUAGCAAACAGGAUUAGAUACCCCUGUAGUC
This 465-nucleotide ribosomal RNA is filed under the name Vreelandella stevensii. RNAcentral describes it as "partial 16S ribosomal RNA". It matches the Rfam family "Bacterial small subunit ribosomal RNA", at positions 338 to 795 of the family's 1533-position model. The record is from RNAcentral. Lineage: Bacteria; Pseudomonadati; Pseudomonadota; Gammaproteobacteria; Oceanospirillales; Halomonadaceae.